UUAAUUGAAACCAAAAUAGAGGUAAAUUAUUGUUAAUAAUUAAAAUGAUCAAAUAAUCCAAUUAAA
Molecule: transfer RNA, 66 nt
Filed under: Andrena nitida
Lineage: Eukaryota; Metazoa; Arthropoda; Insecta; Hymenoptera; Andrenidae
Description: tRNA-Asn
Source: RNAcentral